RNAcentral lists this ribosomal RNA (247 nucleotides) under uncultured Bdellovibrio sp. Its description in RNAcentral is "partial 16S ribosomal RNA". It matches the Rfam family "Bacterial small subunit ribosomal RNA", at positions 210 to 456 of the family's 1533-position model. The record is from RNAcentral. Lineage: Bacteria; Pseudomonadati; Bdellovibrionota; Bdellovibrionia; Bdellovibrionales; Pseudobdellovibrionaceae.
GUUUUUCGCUCUAAGAUGAGCCCGCGUGAGAUUAGCUAGUUGGUGAGGUAACGGCUCACCAAGGCGACGAUCUCUAGCUGGUCUGAGAGGAUGAUCAGCCACACUGGAACUGAGACACGGUCCAGACUCCUACGGGAGGCAGCAGUAGGGAAUAUUGCACAAUGGAGGAAACUCUGAUGCAGCGACGCCGCGUGAGUGAUGAAGGCCUUCGGGUUGUAAAGCUCUGUCGCACAGGAAUAAGAAAGUG